RNAcentral lists this long non-coding RNA (5866 nucleotides) under Gossypium barbadense (sea-island cotton). Its description in RNAcentral is "long non-coding RNA (GBAR_LNC012245)". The record is from RNAcentral. Lineage: Eukaryota; Viridiplantae; Streptophyta; Magnoliopsida; Malvales; Malvaceae.
AGAGUCAAAUUUUCAAGUUUGUAAUAUUAGUUUUGGAAGAAGUUCUUCAACAAUAUGGAAUUCAACUUGAAGAUAUUGGAUGAUCGUUUUCAUUCUUAUGUCUCAAUAUUAAAUAAUCUUGAGCUUUAAUGUAAUAAAAUGUUGAGUUUUCUUGUAUGAACAUUAGUUUUUUAAUAAUAACUAAAUCUCAUGAACUUAAGAAAAACCCUAAAAAGUCAAGAGUGCUCUCUUGCGAAUCCCAAAGAAACAGCGGCUACUGUGGUUGGAAAGGAGGUGAGUGGUGACUUGAGGGUAUGGCCGAAGAGAAGGAACUAGCGCUAUUUGAAGAAGAAUUGAUCCAGCUAUCGGUGAAGAGCUCGUCAGUCAGGCCAUCCGAGAAUCCGACGUUGUUAUGUACUGUUUGGACAAAGAAAUCUUACAAUCCAGACAGUUUGAGAGCGCAAUUAAGGAGCAUCUGGAAAACAAAGAGGAAAUUCAAGAUUCUAAUCGCGGGUCAAAACCUUUUCUCGAUAUCCUUCGAAGACAAGGAAGAUCUCGAGUAGAAUUUGGAAGGACGCCCAUAGCUUUUUCGAAAACAUCUACUGAUUCUAGACCAGUUAACGGAACCAAUAGAGAGGAGCAAGAUUAAACUAGUGACAUCUCUGUUUUGGCUAAAAAUUGGACCAUGUCCUCCUGAGUUUGAGAAAAAGGAUUUGAUGUAUGCAGUGGGAUCUACAUUUGGGAGAGUACUUCGAUUGGAAAUAAAAGGUGACUGCUGUCGAAUUAGGGUUAAUUUAGAUGUCCAAAAACCUCUACGAAGAGGUAUUUUUGCUUCCCUAGAGAAACAAGGAAAAAUCUGGCUCACGUUCAAAUAUGAAACCUUACCAACGUUUUGUUUCGGGUGUGGCGGGUUAGGACACGAGGUUAAAGAUUGCAUGCAAAUUUCGCCUGAAGAUCGGUCCAGAUCAGUAGACCAACUUCCCUACUCUAUAGCUCUCAAGGCUGAAUUUACUGUAAUUAGAAAGGAAAGCAUAUGGUAUGGGUCCUUGAAAAAGAAUACAAUGAAGCAAUGUCAGUACCCAGGUGAGGAGAAAAUAGAUACGGAUGGAAAUCACCAUACAGAUACAAUGAUACAGAAGUGACAAAUGUCGAUGGAGGAAGAUUGGGAAAACAACCCAAAAGACCCAAGAGAUAAGAAACGAGCGACAAAUGAGCAGAGAUAAAGCAGCUUAUUUAAACACCACAAAAGGGUCGAUAAUCGUUAAAGAGAAGGAAGAGCAGAAUCAAAGUGACAUCGUAUAGAUUCAGAUAAAUGAACUGGAGAUAAAGAAGUCCACCGAUGGAGUAGCAAUGCAACAAAUAAAUCACCAUCGGAAUAGCUGUCGUCGUUUAGAUAAAAAGGAAUGUUUUGAUACAAACAUGCCUGAGCUGAUUUUGGGUAAACGCAAAUUCAAUCAAGAAAAGCCAGUAGACAUUGACCCAUAUUCUAGUAUUGAGAGUAUCAAAAAAAAGUCAAGGCAAUAAAUGGACACGUGGUGGAGCAUGCAACCUUUGAUUUUGAGAAGGCUUUUACGCAGGAUUUUUCAGAUUUGAAGCAAGAUAUAUCGGUCGGUGCCAAUAGGCAAGCCGACCAAAUGCAAUGAAGAUCCUAAGCUAGAAUGUCUGGGGACUGGGGAAUCCCCGGACAAUUAGAAAGUUCUAACACACAUUGAAACUUUACAAUCCCCAAAUAAUCUUCAUAAUGGAGACAAAACUUGAUUGUAUUCGCAUGGAACGAGUUAGGAAAAAGUGUGGUUUUCAGAAUGGAAUGGACAUCCCAACUCUGGGAACACGUGGUGGUUUAUGCCUUGCAUGGAAUGGAAAUCAUUUGAUUCAUGUUCGUAGUUAUUCAGAGUAUCAUAUCGAUAUUGACAUUAUGGAGAUGAUAAUUCAAGCAAAUGGAGGUUGAUGGGGUUUUAUGGGAAUCUAAGACAGUCAAACAGGCACGAAUCCUGGAACCUUCUUCGAAGACUACGAAAUGCAAACCCUGAGCCUUGGUGUGUAUGUGGAGAUUUUAAUGAGAUUAUGUACGCAAAUGAAAAGAAAGGAGGAGCCAUAAGAGACGAGAGACAAAUGGAGGAGUUUCGGAAGGUAUUAGCUAAAUGUGAUUUGUUUGAUAUGGGUUAUACAGGACAGAAAUAUACAUGGGAAAGGGGCAAUUUUAAGGAUACUAAUAUUAGAGAACGACUUGACUGAGCAGUAGCAAAUAAUGAAUGGUCCAACUGUUCAACGACUAUUCGGUACAGCAUCUCCCUCAUUCAUUGUCUGAUCACCGCCCAAUUUUAGUUCAAAUAGAGAUUAACAAUUCACGUAGUGGUCGACACCACUUUAAAUUCGAAUCAUGGUGGCUUCUCGAAUCAAGAUGUGACGAAGUCAUUAAAAAAUUGUGGGAGGAGAAAGAAGCGAUGUCUUAGGAAAAAUGAAACACCUACGCACUGGUCUACAAAAAUGGGGACGUAGCGUCAAGGUAAAACAUGAUAGGAAAUCGAAGAAAUUGUGGGAUAGAUUGGUCAAACUUGAUGGCAUGAAUAGGGAUGAUGAUGUGUUAGCUGAAAUUAUAGAUGUUAAGUUAGAGCUAAACUGGGAGCUGGAAAAAGAGGAAUUAUAUUGGGAGCAGCGGGCUAGAGCCAACUGGUUGCGUGAGGGGGAUAAAAAUACAGCUUAUUUCUACAAUAAAGCAUCUCAAAGACAAAGAGUAAAUAAGAUUCGUGGAUUGGAAGAUAGAGACGGGGUCCUCAAAUCGGAAAGAAUGGAUAUAGAGAUCAUUAUCAAAGAUAACUUUAUGGGGUUGGUAAUAAAAACCAUCUUUUUUCGGGUGUCCAUAGGUGCAUUACGGAGGAUAUGAAUCAAAUUCUAGUAGCAGAUUAUAAGGAGAUAGAAAUAGUUGAAGCGUUUAAUAGUAUUGGGCCAACAAAAGCAUCUGGGCCUGAUGGUUUUCCAGCUAUUUUCUUUCAGAAAUUUUGGCAUAUUGUGGGAAAUGAGGUAAGUGCUUUCUGCCUAGAUGUUCUGAACAAAGGCAAAUCUUUAAAAUCUUUAAAUUACACAAACAUAGUACUAAUCCCAAAAAAUGCCUAUCCAAAGAACCUAAUUAAUUCUUCGGCCCAUUAGCCUGUGUUCGGUACUUUGCAAAAUUAUUUCAAAAUCCAUCGCCAAUAGACUUCAAAAAGUACUGGAUUCUUGUAUUGAUCUAGCUCAAAGUGCGUUUGUACCGGAUAGGUUAAUUACUGAUAAUGUCCUUCUAGCUUAUGAAAUAUUACAUACUUUGAGGAACAAAAAGAUAGGAAAAAAAGGAUUAAUGGCUCUUAAGAUUGAUAUGAGUAAGGCGUAGGGUAGAAUAGGGGAUUUUGCAAAAAAUAAUGCUCAAAAUGGGUUUUAAUGCUGAAUGGGUUGAGAGAGUUAUGCAUUGUAUUGCCACUGUUUCAUAUUCGGUGGUACUUAAUGGAACCCCAAGAAUAGUUUUUACACUUGAGAGAGGGUUGCGAAAAGGGGACCCACUUAGCCCUCUAUUAUUUCUCAUAUGUAGUGAAGGACUUUCUACUUUACUUAGGCUCGCAACUGAGAAAAGCAGACUCAAAGAAAUUAAAGCAAGCAGACGAGGGCCUCAAAUCUCUCAUCUUCUAUUUGCAGAUGACUGUAUACUAUUCGGGGAAGCAACUGAGAGGGGAGCAAAGACAAUUGAACAAAUUCUUAAAGAGUAUGAGGAGUGUUCUUGUCAAUGUAUCAAUUAUGGGAAAUCGAUUGUGUUUUUUUAGUACAAAUACAUUCGAAACAGUCCGGGUUGAUAUUUCUAAUCGGAUGAGAGUUAAAAGGUCCAAUAGUUCAAAAAAAUACUUGGGUCUGCCAAAUUUGGUGGGAAGGGGAAAACGUAGGGCUUUUCAACACCUGAAAGACCGUAUAAAAAUAAAAAUUGAUAACUGGAGUAAUCGGUUAUUAUCACAAGGAGGAAAAUAGGUGUUCAUUAAAGCUGUGCUACAAGCGAUUCCAACAUACACAAUGGCAUGUUUCCUACUACCGCUAUCAUUAUGUAAGAAGAUUGAGCAAUUAAUGGCUAACUUCUAGUGGCAGAAGGGUCAAGGUAAACGUGGAAUUCAUUGGUGCUCAUGGAAUAAAUUAUGUGAAUUAAAAGUCGAGGGUAGACUUGGAUACAGAAAUUUAGCUAAAUUUAAUUUGGCCUUUCUUGCAAAGCAAGGCUGGAGAAUUAUUGAUAAUCCUAUGUCCCUUUUAGCUAGAACAUUAAAAGCCAAGUAUCAUCCAAAUUCUGAUUUUUUAAGCUCAGAGUUAGGGAGCUUACCAUCAUAUACUUGGAAACGUAUAUGGGCUGCAAAGGGACUGCUGUUCGCAGGAUUAUAGUGGAAGGUGGGUAACGGGCAAAGCAUCAGAAUUGAAGAAGAUGUCUGGGUUCCAAAUGUGGAGAGCGGGCUGGUUAAAAAAAAUGUCAAUAGGCAAACUGUUACAAAAGUCGAAGAUCUUAUUGAUAAUAGGAAUAGAAAAUGGAAUUCGGAACUGAUUUUAAAGACCUUCUCUAAAGAGGUCGCUCAAAAGAUCUUGUUAAUUCCACUGGCUCAGCACACUCACGAAGACUUUCUGAGUUGGCAAGGCGAGGCAUCUGGAGAGUAUUCUGUGUGCAGCAGUUACAAAAUCCUCUUACAAAGAAAUGAAAAUUACAGGCAAGAGGAAAUCAAUACAUGUUACAAAAAAACUCUGGAGCUGUGACCUCCCUUCAAAAAUUAAUAUUACAGCCUAGAGAGUCACCCUUAACUUUAUCCCUACUCUAGUAAACCUAAAAGCUAAGCGACUAAUAAAUGAGGCCAAUUGUUAGAGGUGCUUGUAAGGGCUGGAAACAAGAGAACACGUCUUCCGGGAUUGCACUGUCACAAAAGAAAUAUGGGAAAAAUUAGAGUUUACAUGGCCUCAGGCUCUUUCACAAGUUGAGUUUAUGGAAUGGUUUACCUGAAUUAUGCUCCACAGUACAAGAGAAGCCAGUCAGACCUUCAUUUGCACUUUAUGGGCUAUCUGGGCAGCUAGAAACAAAUGGAUGUAUGAAAACCACAAGAGAACUGGAGCAGAAAUAGUAAAAUUCAUACGGGGAUAUAUACAGGAAGUUAAAGACAUUACGAAAACAGAUCUUGCCUUAAGGUUGGAAUCUGAGUUAUGGAGGCCUCCGGAAAAAGAGUUCUUCAAGAUAAACUUUGAUGCUGCCUUUGAUAAUAGAUAGAACAGAUCCUGUUCAAGAAUAAUAAUCAGAAAUUUCAAGGGUGACAUUAUAGUAUCCAACACAAUAAUUCAUACCAACAUAUGCACUAGUUUUGCGGCUGAAGCAAACGCAUGUCUACAGGCAGUCAAGAUGGGCAGAGAAUUAGGGAUAAAACAGAUUAACAUUGAAGGAGACUCCUUAACAGUUAUAAAGAAAGUUAAAAGCUCAAAAAGAGACAGAUUGGAAAUAGGACCUUUUAUCUAUGAUAUAAAAGAACAGAAAGCAACAUUCCACGAUUUUCAGUUUCAAUAUGUCAGACGAUCAGCAAAUACAGAAGCACAUAAUCUGGCAACGGAAGGGCUAAAAAUGGACAGAAGUACAUACCUGGCUCCUGGGUCCGGCGGAAAUGGCAUUUCUGAAGCAGAGGUAGAUCGGGGAUAGAGAUAAACCAAUUGGAAAUAGUAACAACACCAGUUGCGGGGACAAAAGAGGAGAAGACGAUCUAUCUAGCAGGAAAAUACAUGGCGGUACAAAAAUCUUUAGAAAAGGAAAAUGAGUGGAAGACGGGCUGCGAAUAAGAAGAAGGCAACGAUGGAAAAGAAAAGAUCAAAGGAAUAAGACUAACAGCUGGGAAGACAAUAUCUUUUCGUUGGA